Molecule: long non-coding RNA, 887 nt
Filed under: Malus domestica (apple)
Lineage: Eukaryota; Viridiplantae; Streptophyta; Magnoliopsida; Rosales; Rosaceae
Description: long non-coding RNA (MDOM_LNC010922)
Source: RNAcentral
UUAAUAGAUAUUACAAUAAAAUUAAAAUAUAUUAUUAUACACAUUUUAAUUCAUUACUUUUAUUUUACUUCCUCUAAUUAGUAUACUUAAAUGUCCGUAUCAUAAUAUAUUUUACUAAAUUAAUGUACCGAAUUAUCUGUAACAUACCACAUCGCCUAGGGGAGUGGAUAUUGUAAGCCUUAUAUGUAUAUUCUCAUCUCUACCUAGCACGAGGCCUUUUGGGAACUCACUGGCUUCGGGUUACUCCGAAGUUAAGCGAAUUCACACAAGAGCAAUCCCAGGAUGGGUGACCCACUAGGAAGUUCUUGUGUGAGUUCCCAGAAACAAAACCGUGAAGGCGUGGUAGGGGCCCAAAGCGGACAAUAUCGUGCUACGGUGGAGUUAAGCCCGAGAUGUGGUGGGGGCCCGGGUCAGGAUGUGACAAUUUGGUAUCAGAGCCAAUCCUUGACCGGAAGUGUGCCGACGAGGACGUCGGGCCCUAAGGGGGUGGAUUGUAACAUCCCACAUCGUCCAGGUGAGUGGAUCUUAUAAGCCGUAUAUGUAUAUUCUCAUCUCUACCUAGCACGAUGCCUUUUGGGAGCUUAUUGGCUUCGAGUUCCGUCGGAACUCCGAAGUUAAGCGAGUUCGCGCGAGAGCAAUCCCAGGAGUGGUGACCUACUGGGAAGUUCUCGUGUGAGUUCCCAGAAACAAAACCGUGAGGGCGUGGUCGGGGCUAAAAAUGGACAAUAUCCUGUUACGGUGGAGUUAAGCCCGUGAUGUGGUGGGGGCCCGGGUUGGGAUGUGACAUUAUCUGUACCUAAAUAUAUUGUAGUAAAUUAGUGGCACAUAAGAAAAUAUGCAAAAACAUAAGUGUACCAAAAAAUUCAGUACCUAAAUAUAUGAUAUUA